UGCUUCAAGUAUUAUUUGUUUAUUUUUUAAUUUUGUUCAUCAAUCUUCAUGUCAAAUAAAGGACAACAUCUCCAUUAUUGUUUACAAUAAAUGAGCUAAAAAAGCAAGCGGGUAGGACAAGGCACGUGGGGCGAGGCGACGCUAGGGAAGGAGAAUGGUUUCAUCUGCCUUGUUCCAUUGCCAUCAUGUUACCCGCAAUAGGCCUAAUGUGAUCUUAUAUUUUAGUCAUUUUAUAUGAAAAAAAUAAGUGAAUCUAAACUUGACUAUGUUAGAUGUGACAAUAAUAUGAUAACGGAUUAUUUGUGAACUUAACCCGCAGCCCUCAGUGGAAAUCAACUGUUUAGUUUGAUUUCACAAGGUUUGACGAAUCUAAACUUGACUAUGUUAGACUUGAAUGAUAAUAUGCUAAUGGGUCCUAUCCCAGUGUUUAGAGCUGCUAAUGCAGAGUAAUGCUACAUAUUCCUCAAAUUCUUUGUCAGCCCUCAAUUUACUGCACUUUUAGAUCUUCUUAAAGGUUGGAAUUAUCCAGUCAAUCUUGCUCCCCAGUGAUCUGGUAAUUAUCCAUGUACAGAUCCUUGGCAGGAAAAAAUGAGAGGACACAAUUACUAUUGUCUUAGAAGAUCCCAAGAUGUACACUGCAAAGAGUGGAAGCCUUUUCAUUUAUAACCAAGAUCUACGGAGGAUAAUCAAUAAUUUUGCACCAGAGAAUGAGCUUGGUCGUGGUGGCUUUGGAGUUGUUUACAAAGGUGUAACUGAAGAUAGAAUUCAAAUUUCAGUGAAGAGAAUUGAAUCUUCAAUUAUCAAUUGCAAGACAUUGGGUGAAUUUCAGAGACUCAAUAUUGCUCUAGAUGUUGUUGGAUGGAUAGAUUACCUUCAUAAUCUGGCACACCAGAGUUUCAUACACAGCAAUCUCAAAUCAUCAAACAUUCUUCUAGAUGAUGAUUUUAGAGCAAGAGUACUGAUUUUGGAUCAGUGAAAGUGUGAAACUCGCUCCUGACAAAGGCUUGAAGGAACAUUUGGUUACCUCGCUCCUGAAUAUGCUGUCACAACUAAAACAGAUGUCUUCAGCUUUGGGGUGGUGUUGAUGGAACUUGUGAUUGGACUACCCGCCCUUGAUGAGCAUCGAUUUGAGGAAACUCGAUAUCUGGUUGACUACGUGGUUCUGGUAGAUAAAAUUAAAUAAAGCAAAAAUCUUCUUGCUUCGUUGAUCCAACUCUUGAUGCGAAGGAAGAUAUCCACAAGAGCAUAUAUGUAUUUGGCUGAAUUAGCUAGACAUUGUACUGCCAAAGAUUCUAAUGAAUAGGCCUGUCAUGUCACACACUGUGAAUGUGCUUGGGCAACUAGUUGAGUCUAGCACUAAUUUCUUUAUAAUUAUGUUGUAUAUCUCAGACAGAUUAAUAACAUAUAUGUAGUUCUUUAAAAAAAUUAUGUACUAUGAGAUGCACGUAAGACACAAAAUGCACGAGAUGUACUGUGAUGCACGCAAAACACUAUUUUUAUUCAAUA
This is a long non-coding RNA of Solanum dulcamara, 1506 nucleotides long. RefSeq lists it as uncharacterized. NCBI's taxonomy places the organism in Eukaryota, Viridiplantae, Streptophyta, Magnoliopsida, Solanales, Solanaceae. The record is from RefSeq and is a predicted model, not a curated record. The transcript has 3 exons.